Molecule: long non-coding RNA, 5091 nt
Organism: Gallus gallus (chicken)
Lineage: Eukaryota; Metazoa; Chordata; Aves; Galliformes; Phasianidae
Source: Ensembl
CACACGUUGUCAGCACUGAGCUUCAAUCCCAGCCACUGUGCUGAGGCAGUUGAAUGGAGGGUUGGGAGUCCUGAACUGCUGUCGAAUCGACAAACACAAGGUCACAGAGACAGACUCUGUCAGAGACAGCACUGGCUGUCUUACUGCCUCAAAUCCAUCUUUGCAGAAUCCUGAAAAUAUUAGAAACAAAGAGUUAUGUGAUGAGCCCAAUUACUGGAGGACUGCCUACCAAGUAUAAAUGGCUGUAACUGAAGUCUGAAAGCACUCAGCUGUUAUGGUGGGAUCUGUGUUAAACACACAAAAAAGAAAUCACUGCGAUCUCUCAAGACAGACUGAUUGAUAUCUUAGACUACCUGACAAAUAACACGUUGUCUCAAAGCAAGGCCUUUAAGAUCUUCUACUGAUAAUACUCAUGAUAAUUAAAGGCCAUGGCCACUGUGAUUAGCCUAGAUUCUUUCACACACAAAAAAAUAAAGCCAACUUCUACUGGCUUUUGGUCAGUUAGUACCUCAGUAAGCCAUAGUUCCAAAAGCCUUGUGUCAUGGUGGAAGCUGUCACCUCCCUCUGGGUGACAAUGAAGCACAGGCACAGUUCUACAUGACCUGAUUUGAUAUUACCAGGUGGUAACACACUAACAAAAUCCACAGGACAACUUGAUCUCACAGAUGCAUCUCUGCCUUGAUGGUAUAUAAAUUUAAAGUGAAGGGCAGCACUUCUUAAUUACUUACAUUGUUUAUUUUAAUGUAGCUUACAGCUUUCAUUUUUAAACCAGAAAUGGAAGGACAUAGUUUCUCUCAAGACAGCAGGUUUGUGUUUUUAAAAGAUUUUAAAUUAAUACAUGUAUUUACUCACUGUAGCAGAAAUGCUAAGUAAGUCACAGUCUGAACCAGUGACUGAGCACCCAGUGGGAAGGCAGGGCCAACACAGGGGAGCUCAGGUGCAUGCAAUGUACCUGAGUGAGCAGAAGGGGUGGAGCCAGGAUCCACCCCUUCCCAAACCUCAUUUAAGGGUUGGCAGUGGAGGUAGGGAUUUUUUGCUGGAGAUCCCUGCCUCCCAGAGGUCUUCUGAAGUCGGAUUGAUUCGGUGUCUGAAUACACAUUGUACCAUGAGGAUCCUCUUACCCUGAGCCAAAGUCUGUCAAAGUCAAUUCCAACAGCUGAUGAGGCCCUUCAGGAUAGGUCAGUUUUUUCCUUGAAAUCCCAUCAUGGCAACUUCUGCAUUUGAUGAGUAUUACCAGCACAGAUAGACGCACCAUGGAGGGAAUCCCAGCCACACAGAAAAAAUGUGUACACAGUCAUCACUAUCUUUGGAUUCACCUCUGCAAGAUCUGGAAGAGCACACACUCAGGAAGCAGUUCUUCUUGCCAUGGAUACAGCAUCCCCAUUUGCCAUGGAAAGAGGACUUUGUUGGCUUUUGGACUGGUACCCAAAACUGGCACAUUAGCUCUGCCCCUGCCCACCAUAAUUUCACCUAAUACCCUCUUUACUAAGAUUCAGUCUUCAAGAUGUGUAGCAGUCCUGUCACACCAGUUUUAUGCAUGCAUUUUGAUCUUUCCACAGCAGAGACAAGUGUCUUUAAUGUGUAAAUUCACCUUUGAAAUGUCAAGACCACUUUACCAACUGUUAAAAGUUGUAAUUAAUAUUUGUAAGGGCUAAUAGCUAGCAUGCAUAAUCGAGGACUUAUCAGCUAACAUUUACAUUCUUCCUUCUGUUUGCAUUUUUAGAAAUAAUCAACUAAGACUAUUAUUGACCUGAAAACUGCCUGUCAUUCUGCUACUACAUAAUAGUCACAGAAUACACAUUUCAAAGCCACGGUUUAACAGAAAUACUUAAAACCUGACAACUUAUGAUGAUUCAACAAGAUGAGAAAAAGACAAGGGCUCAAUCUCCAAACCCUGAUCAGUGGGUGAGCAUUUCAUAAGCCUGAGCAAACAGGAGAGAUCAUUGCGAAGAAGUGCUUGAGUUGAUUUGCAUUGCUCUCAAUUAGGGAAGGUAGUCCAGCCAACCACUACUCCAGCAUUACUGACAAGGACAACAAUUUGAUUUCUAGAAGCACUACCUGACUGAAAGAUUCUGUGAUUAGGAACUGCCACUCCUUUUGGACACAAAAGGGGAAUCUUCACCUUGAAGUUCUGGGAUGCAGGUGGACUUGCUAGAUUCUUUCAGGGUCCAGUUCACUACAGUGUCAUCACUGACUUGCUGAGCAUCACCCAGGUCCUUGAAGACAUUCAGCAUGUACCUGAACAGUGGCAGAGAAAACAAGAUUUGGCUCAGAUCCUGGGCUAAGACCCAGCAAGCACACAGCCUGGAGGGAACAUGAACUCAUAGCAACACGCAAAGUCUUCAUGUAGUCUCAGCUCUGCUUUUUUUUUUUUUUUUUAAUUAUUUUAUUUUUCACCCCUUCAGCAAAAAGGAAGAGCCAUCUAUUGUAUCUGUAGUGCAAUUUCUGUUAAAUCAUUUAACCUCUAAUUCCUCUCACUUCGUUUCAUAUUCAGACAUUACUAGUGGACUGGAAAUUAUUCAGCCUGUAAAUACCAAGUUAAAAUAGAAAGAAUAACACUGCUUCUCCCUUGUUUGAGGGGAUUGCACUGGUUGUGCAAAUGCAGGGUGUGGAAAACACUGCCUAGUGGAUGAACUAGGGAGUAUUCUAGGUUACAUGACACUUAUUACUUUGCACAAGAAACUGGUAUUAGGCAGAGAGAAUGGCGUUGAAUCCUCUUGUUGAAGGAAAUAUUGGAUGACUUUAGCUUUGAAGAGCUUUCUUCCCUUGGCUGUAAGUGAGCGAACUAGAAAAAGCCACAGUAAAUCUUUCUAUUGCUGGGGAACAAAUGAGAAACUGUACUACAGAGAGUAUGGAAAAAGAAAAGCAAGCCCUUAUGACCUUAAGAACAUAAUAAAGAUGGUCAGGCCAGAGGAAGUCUGGGCAAAAACAAGGGACUGUGGAAGUUGCCUGUCAUGAUGACUAGUGGGAAGUAGAACAUGCACGAAGAAAAUGAGACAAUAGCUGGAAAUAUGUAGACACUGCUAAGACUAACCUUGAGCCACAUCCUUAUUUAGGGACUAACAACAAUUGAUGUUUAAUAUUCUAGUCCAAUGGCAAUGUUUUCCCUUAUCUUAGAGAAUCUGUUAUUCAUUUGUUUGAAUGCAUGUAAGCAUACAAACCUAAAGACAGGAUUGGGUUUAGCCUCGAGGCUUCUUCACAAGUAUAUGUUCUCAACAGACAGCAAAUGCUAAAGCUAGAAUUGUUUCAGAGUCUGCUUUGACACUUUCCACAUGACUCUUCUAGCAUGUUCCAGUCAUCAAACAACAUAUACAACCUUCAGUCAUCUUCUAAGUGACCUAUUUAGGAGCAAUUUCAGCAUGAAUAUAAAUUCAGUGAAAAUGUAAAUAUGCAUUCAACAGUUGCUGGAUGAAAUGGUGGGUGGUGAGAAGAAAGGGAGUUUCCAUCUGUCUAGCCUUACAGGCACUACCUUCUCUCAGCAUUCAGAAGCACAGUGAGUUAAACUGCUGUAUGCUUGAGCUGGUGGGAUCACCAUCGUCUGCAAUAAAGUACCCAGCUUCCAACUGAAAAACAGAAGAGCAGACUCUCCUUGGCCAGAAGUCAAUGCUGAGAUCUCUGUGCGUACUUCUUCAGCAUGAUGGACAGAUAACAGGAUGAAGACUCCGCAAGAUCAUCAGUUCAACAGUCCCAGCUUGUGAUAAGGCAUGAGGAGUCUGUGCAGUCUCUUACUCAGCAUCUUUCAGUCUAAUGAAGGCUCACGUAAUGGCUGAGAGACAGCCCUCCCUCCUGCCAGGUCAGGAUUUCUGAGAUUCCUGGUACAGCCAAAGGUGGUGAACUGACAGAAAUGCUUUGGAUGCUCUUUACAGGUAUUCAGCACAACAGGAAUUUUCUGAUUUAAGCAAAAGGAAGAGUGGAUCUGCCUUACUGCAAAAGCUCUGCCAAUCAGCAUGGAAAAAGCAGAGUCCAGGAGUAAAUACUAUAAGAAAGCAUGUCGUGGCUUCAUGUACGCAAGACACUUCAGCAAUGCUAUAAUCUAUUGGAGGUGGGCAGGAAAGAGAAAAAUUGUUGUGUUUUUUUUUUCUAAGAUGUCUUCAGUAACUAGAAAUGUACCCUGGAAGGAGUCAUCCUGAUGGACAGUGUGAUGGCUCUUUUGUCACUUAUACUGCAGUUUCAAGUCUGGAAGCAACCGGCUAUCUCUGGUGGUCCUGCGUUCUCGGCUACUGACAGGAUUGGUCAUACAAAUGGCAACAGUACGUCAGAGCUUUGAAAUGGCUCAGUGGCAGCUGAGGCUGAGAAGCAAAACUGCUGUUAUUACUCCUAUGAGAAAGAAUGGAAGAUUGAUUUUAAUGACAACUUUGUCAGUGUUUAGCAAUGCUGUUUUUAAGCAGCUUAAAACAUAAUUUCCAAUUUCAACGACGUUCAGCCUUUCCUUUCCACAAAGGCUUAUAGUAGACCAGUGGUAUGCAACUGGCAUGAGCCAGAGCCAACAGAUGCCUGUAUUAAGGUGGUACCACCUGGGCUGAAGCCCAUGGAAAACUCAAAAUAUUCAUUUAAGAGUUUGCAGUGCUGUUUAUAACCAAACAUGGACAAGUAGUGUAAAUGAAUCUGUAGCGGUGACUCCAAUGGACAGCUGCAGAACUACAGAAAUGGAGCUGGGAGCAGGAUGUAGCUCACAGAGCUAACAGAAUAGUAAAGAGAAAGAAAGAAGACAAAUGGUAAUUAAAAAAAAACUCUGGAGAAUGCUGAUGAACCUGAUUUGACACCACUAGUGCUUCAGGACUAAGGGUAUGAAACAGGACAAUAGAAAAAAAUCCAGCUUUGAAUACUCUUGCUUUACAAUAAGAAAUACCAUUUGGUCUAUAGAUAAGAAGUAGGAAUAAAAAUCUGCCUUAAAACUGCUUGUGAGAAGGAAAAGAAUCGUUUGUUAUUUUAUACCAAUCUGUCCUUUGUUCUAAUGUCUUCAAUACCAGUGCUUAAUUCUCUGAACUCACAUUUGUUCUAAUCUGGUGUAGCAGAAAUGCUAACUCACAGCCUGAAGCAGUGAUUGAGCACCUGGUGGGACGGCAGGGCCAACCCAGGGGAGCUCAGGUG